Molecule: long non-coding RNA, 494 nt
Organism: Oxyura jamaicensis (ruddy duck)
Lineage: Eukaryota; Metazoa; Chordata; Aves; Anseriformes; Anatidae
Exons: 2
Source: RefSeq, a predicted model, not a curated record
AGAGGGUUGUGUUGAAUUAUCUUCACAUCACCCUGGGCUAAUAGCUCGGAGGCUGUUUUUGCAGUUGUCUAGGAGCUGAACCCUGAGAAUCUAACAUAGCUGGAACAAAGGCUUGAACUUCAGAAAGCUUAGGCAAAGUGCAAGAAGAAAGGUUGGUCUGCAUGAGUCCAGAACUGGACAUGAGUUUUCCCGCUCGGUCAGUAAUAAUUUGAGACUCAUAAUUCUCAUUACAUACAGCAUGGGCUCUACAAGAAACCCUCUGUGGUCAGAUGUUGGUUUCGGAGUGAUGAAGGAAAGGUAAGGCAAUUCCUGCAGACUGGAAGGCUGCAGGGUGAGAGACAUCUCUGGAGACCUGUCUCUGCUGGAUCUAGCUGCCUAUCAGAUAAAUUCAUUUUGGGAGAUGAUGGUAUCAAACACGUUGCCUCCAGUUGUGAUUCAAAACUAAAAACUGGUUCAAUUCUUUAAAAAGAGAGGAGGGACAGGAUAUAAAUACA